UACAGAGGUCUCAAGCGUUGUUCGGAUUCAUUGGGCGUAAAGGGUGCGUAGGUGGCGUCGUAAGUGGGGUGUGAAAUCCCGGGGCUUAACCCCGGGACUGCAUUCCAUACUGCGGUGCUUGAGGACUGGAGAGGAGACUGGAAUUUACGGUGUAGCAGUGAAAUGCGUAGAGAUCGUAAGGAAGACCAGUGGCGAAGGCGGGUCUCUGGACAGUUCCUGACACUGAGGCACGAAGGCCAGGGGAGCAAACAGG
RNAcentral lists this ribosomal RNA (253 nucleotides) under uncultured bacterium. Its description in RNAcentral is "partial 16S ribosomal RNA". It matches the Rfam family "Bacterial small subunit ribosomal RNA", at positions 524 to 776 of the family's 1533-position model. The record is from RNAcentral.